UGGUCGGGCGCGCAGCAUGGGCAGCUGCGCAAGGAUAGACCCCCUUUUCUGGUCUUUGAGGGAUCGCGCGCGGCUCGCCCCGCCCGUGCGCGU
The sequence is a regulatory RNA element, 93 nucleotides long. It matches the Rfam family "Rhodo-rpoB RNA". The record is from Rfam.